CUACGGGAGGCUGCAGUGGGGAAUAUUGGACAAUGGGGGAAACCCUGAUCCAGCAAUGCCGCGUGUGUGAAGAAGGCCUGCGGGUUGUAAAGCACUUUCGGUUGGGAGGACUGCUUCUAGCACUAAUAUUGUUGGAAGUUGACGUUACCUUCAGAAGAAGCACCGGCUAACUCCGUGCCAGCAGCCGCGGUAAUACGGAGGGGUGCAAGCGUUAAUCGGAAUUACUGGGCGUAAAGCGCGCGUAGGCGGCGAGAUCAGUCGGGUGUGAAAGCCCCGGGCUUAACCUGGGAACUGCAUCCGAUACUGUCGAGCUUGAGGACAGGAGAGGAGAGUGGAAUUCCACAUGUGCGGUGAAAUGCGUAGAUAUGUGGAGGAACACCAAUGGCGAAGGCAGCUCUCUGGCCUGAUACUGACGCUGAGGUGCGAAAGCGUGGGGAGCAAACAGGAUUAGAUACCCCCGUAGUC
RNAcentral lists this ribosomal RNA (465 nucleotides) under uncultured bacterium. Its description in RNAcentral is "partial 16S ribosomal RNA". It matches the Rfam family "Bacterial small subunit ribosomal RNA", at positions 339 to 795 of the family's 1533-position model. The record is from RNAcentral.